GCCUCUGGCCUCCCGUGGCCGCCGCGCCUGGAGAGCAGCACCGUGUUGUCGUGUGGAAAGGCCGAGCGGCGGCGGCACCGCGGGUGGGCGGCGGAGGUCACGCAGCCUCGCUGCAGGCCCGGAUUUAGAAACAUGCGCAAGAAAGGAAUGAGAAGUGCCUGAAGUCAGUAUCAGAAAAGGGAUGGCAUCCACAAUCCAGGAACAUGAACAUGGACAUAAAAUUAGGAAGGCCAUUCUGACGUCUUUCAGAGCUGAAAAGAAGCUGUAGCAUUCAGGUCUAGCAGAAAAUUCUACACAAGCAUGUAUAGUUCUGUAAAUCUGUUCUAACUCCUGUCCAUCCAUUGUCAAAAAAGAAGUAAGGUGUGGAUUUUCUGAUGCAGUGUGUAAUUCCUGCAUCUUGGUGUGAAAGAUAUUUAUUGUCACAUUAUUUUAAAUUUGAUGUGUGCAUUAUUUGGGCAACCUUUGUUUUCAUUUGAAUGUAAGUAAAUAGUCUCAAAAAAGCUAAAGUACUAUGUGACAGGCCCAUCAAAGCUCUGUGUAAGCUUGCUGAGCUCAAAACUUACAUUCCCCACUUCUUAACUGAAUGAAAUUGGAAUAACAAAACCCUCUUUUUUAGUGAAGCACAGUGAGCAUCCUUUCACCCUCAUAAUGCAAUGGGCUACGCUAAAGUUCCCCUCAUCUUCAUUACUCUGUGCAAGUUUGGGAUCUGCAGAUUUAAGCAUAGUUUACUUUUUCAGUAUUUUGUCCUGCUGUUUUGUUAUUUUUUCAUGAUCAUUCAGAUAAAGCCCGAACUAUGUGUAAGACUCCAGGGAAUCUUUAUUCUGUGAUUCUGGUGUAAGUUAUAGCAUUCAGAUAUCUAAUAGACAAGUACUCAAGACUGCCAUUUUUUAGAUAAAUUGGAAAUUUGCUACCAGGGGUCAUUAAGGUUAAGUAUUUAGACUUAGCUGUUACUAUAAUGAACAGAAAAUUGGAUAUACACAGCAAUUUAUAAUGAAAACUUUCAAAUAAAGAUCAUGUCACAAACACUGAGUAGGCAUAUUAUUAGGCAUAUUUAAUUUCUUAUUUACAUAGAAAAAAGUUUUCCUUUAGACAUACUGGCUUUCCUAACAACGGCAAUAGCUUAAAAGCAGAGUGGUGCAAAUUUUGUUGGCAUAAAGCUGUCAAAUAAUGCAUCAUUUGCACAUCUCUAAAUAAUGGAAACCACUUAUAUAUCAUUGCAUUUAAGGUACUUGAAUUUGAAUCAGUUUCAACUCUAUGUUCUGUUGUUGAAUAAGCAUUUUAAAAUAUUUUCAAAUGCUACAGAAAACAUACAAAACAAGUAUUAAGGCAUUUUCUUUAACAUUUAUUUUUGGACAUAUAUGCCAUUUUCUUAAUCUAAUAAAGCUUAACUUUGUAAGAUUUUUGGUGGAGCUUAAGCUGAUACUGUUAAAAAUAUUUUGUGUGUUCUGCAAUGAAAUCUAAUAAAGUUGUGACAGUAUAAUGUUUUGUAGGAUUUCUUAAGGUUUGGAUUGUUCCUACCAAGUAACGAACUUCUUUCCAGAGCUAAAUAACAAAGUAAAGUCAAUGCAAGGAUAAUGAUAUUAGAGACUUACACUUUAGCUCUGUUUGUAAUUAGUUGUUCCACAUUGUUGUGCAUACAUUUGUAUGUUGACACAGCUUUUUAGAAAAUAUUUAUAACUCACUGUCAUUUUGAAGCAACUGUUUUCUGAUUCUGCUUUUUUUUUUCCUCAUUCAUUUUGCAUGUAACUAUUUUUUUCUCUAGUUUCCACAAUCUUACUAGAUUUCCUUUCCCCAGAAAAAUUUCCUUCUGUACUUUUGUUUCAUCUUUAAUUACCAAGCAUUUUAAAAUUAUGGCGGAUUUCCUAUAUCUAUUUUAUAUACUCUCUCAUAUUGAUAACUUCCUGACACCUUUCAUCCACUGAGCUCUGUCUUUUUAUUUUUACUCUUGAUUGCCUUCUUUCUUUUCUUUUAUUUUUGGUAGAUUUUCUUUCCUGACAGACUUUGACUGGUUGGUUUUACAGAUGUAGAACAAAAAAGAUGUGCUACAGAAGCAGCACCUCCAGUUUUCAAAGGUUGUCCUCUGCUCUCUACAACAGACACCACUUCUGGCAAUUUGAUACAGUGAGCACAUACUUCACGCUGUGUCACACAUUCCAUUGGCAUAGCUUGUUUCAGGAAGAGGCCCUGAAAUGGAGACGUGAUGCAGUGGCUUCCCCUCUCCUGCAGCCUUGGUCUUCCUGCAUUACUGUAUUACCUGUAUUAUCUCAGAGAGUAGAAGUACUGUGUUAUUAAAAACAACAGAAGUAAUGCAAAGGAAAAAAAAAAUGAAAUAACUUCUGGAAAGCAGUUUAAUUUGUCCUGAAUUUUUGGGCUACCUUUCAUAUUUUUACAAUGUUCUGGUUUUGUAUUCUUUGCUCCCAGAUGUUCAAAUGUACCUUCUGCAGCUUUCAUCUGUAUCCCAGCAGUCAUCAUGCCAUUUCCAAAGGUUUGUGGUAAGUAAUGUUCCAGUACCCAGGAACGGAACUGGGUCAUCCCCCAGGGAGUGCCAAGCCAAGCUGAGUCCCUUCAGGUCACAUGUACAGGAUGAGCACACCCAUAGCUAAGCUGUAAUGGACUGGUCAGCGUGUAACCUGCCGUCCCCAUGGAUGGCCAGACACCAGCGUGUCAAACCAUCAUCCGCAGGCUGUUGAUGGGGGCUCUGGAACCAGCAGCUGUGCAGCUGCACCUCUUUGAGGUGUGGCCUGGCUCUGAAAGCAGUUUAGUCACAUUUGUACGAUGUUACUUUGACAGGUGAGACUUGAAAGAUUUCACGUGUAAAACUGGUAGGAUCUACAUACACAGUGUAUAGUGUUUCUGCAUCUUCUACCUUGUUAAUCUGCAGUUUGGAUAAACAAACCCAGCAUGACUGUCUUGGAUAAAAGUGGUUGUAUGCUGAUCAAAAUUUAGAUCAAAACAAAAUCCACCCAAAGUUCCAGAGCUAGGUGAUUGAAAAGAGUGCCUUUAAAAGGAGUAAAUCAACCUUUACUACAGGCCUUGUCUAUGUGCCAGAUUCCUCCAUUGAGUAUUCCUACUGGUAUUUAAGACUUGACACUUUUUCUUUGAGAUCUGCACAUCCUUUCUUCUCUCUAGCACCCUUCAGAGAGUCAGUUUAUUACUGUAACUUGCUAAGGCGUUUUGAGUUUUUAGGGAUAGAGAUUUUCAUUGCUGUAAAUUUUGAAAUGCCCUCUUUGCAAAUAUGAAUUGCAUUAAAAAAUUGUCCAAUGUUUUUAAUGCUGUGCAUCACAAUCAUACUCCUCUGAAUCACUCCAAAUAAAAUGCAUUGGGAUUUGAGUUACAUAUAUUUAUAUGGGAUGCCUGUAAUCUUACCUGGUGCAUCCCAGCUCUCACACCCCAUUUAAAGGGUCACAACUCAUAUCAACUUAAAAUAAAUAUUAAAAGAAAUGUCAUACAAUGGUAGCAAAACCAUCUUUUGAUGCCCCAAGUAGGAAGGAAUAGUGAUAAUCUUCAAAAGUGAUAUGUCUGCAUGCAAGUGGUUAGGAGAGUGCGUGAGGCUUUUAUUCCUUGCCAUGAAGUGUAUUGCUAGGAUGGUAUUAUCACUCUCAGCCCCUCUGGAGCAAUUUUUGGGAGAGCUUCUGGCAGCAAGCAACACAUGGCACAGAACUAGAAGUAUCUUAGUGGUCAGAACAUAAGCUGAGCUAGGUUCAGAUUUUAAAACAUUGAAAGCACAUACUACAAAAAGAAAAAUACCAAAACAAUGAAACCCAUAUUUUAACUUAAAGAUGCAAAUGCGUGAAUAACAUGAAAAAAGAAGUUAAAUGGAGUCUGUGGCCAUAGAUAUUGGUCUUAAGGAUGUGUCUCUCAUGCUCAGCUUUUUGGCCUUCUUCAGAUUACUCUUCCAAUUUCUUGUGUGCAACUUCCUGUUUUUUUUCUCUGUUAAGAACAAGCCUGAGGUUGUAGCAACAGAAGGGUUCCAGUGGCCUGUGGUCACUGCCAAGUGCUCAGCCAAAUGUUCCUUGUAAAUACAACAAACAGAGCACAUCUAGAUAAUGAUUGAUGUACUACGAAAUCUAGUCAAACAAUCAAAUAUUUUUAAAUCUUUUAGAAUUUGGUACUAAGACAAGUGCCAGUUGUUUCAACUUCAUGUAUAUUACUUUUUAUUUUUUCCAUGACCCGUGAUGGAAAAAGCAAUGUCUUCCUUCAGUAUUUCUGUUUUAAACCAUUUGUAAGUUAUCUCAGAGGUAUAUUAGGAUACAAAGUGAAUAUGUAAGCAGAAAGUGUCAUAUAUUAUCACUUUUGCCCUCCUUAUUGAUUGUAAACUGCAAACACAAGACAUUUUCCAUGGAAGUAUGUUGAUUUGUCUCUAGAUGUAGCUGACAGUGAGUCAACAACAUAUUCUUUAUGUCGUCCUUUUCUUAAUAGGGUGUUUUUCUAAAUUUAUAACAUUCGUUUUUUAGAAGGAACACAGUCCUUCAAACCAAGAAAAAUUAUAUGCCACCAUGGUUAAUACUUUAAAGACUGUCUUUGAGCUUCUCUUGAAUGAAUCAUAUUUAAAGGAAAAUGCUGUAUUUAUAGCAAAUAAAUAGCAAAUAUAUUAUUCU
Molecule: long non-coding RNA, 4598 nt
Organism: Taeniopygia guttata (zebra finch)
Lineage: Eukaryota; Metazoa; Chordata; Aves; Passeriformes; Estrildidae
Source: RefSeq, a predicted model, not a curated record